GCCUGUUUGGUGCAGUGGUUUGUGCUUGGCUGAAGACCCAGAGGUUGCGGGUUCGAUUCCCCCGCCAGUAU
This 71-nucleotide transfer RNA is filed under the name Dallia pectoralis (Alaska blackfish). Its description in RNAcentral is "tRNA-OTHER". Lineage: Eukaryota; Metazoa; Chordata; Actinopteri; Esociformes; Umbridae. The record is from RNAcentral.